RNAcentral lists this transfer RNA (67 nucleotides) under Upeneus parvus (dwarf goatfish). RNAcentral's name for it is "tRNA-Cys". The record is from RNAcentral. Lineage: Eukaryota; Metazoa; Chordata; Actinopteri; Syngnathiformes; Mullidae.
AGCCCUGAGGUGUAUUACAUAUCAGAUUGCAAAUCUGAAGAAGCAGAAUAACGGCCUGCCAGGGCUU